AACGAGAGGACAAGAGAAGCUUGCUUCUUUUGGAAUCGAGUGGCAAACGGGUGAAUAACACGUAAACAACCUGCCUCAAAGAGGGGGACAACAGUUGGAAACGACUGCUAAUACCGCAUAAGCCCACGGGUCGGCAUCGACCAGAGGGAAAAGGAGCAAUCCGCUUUGAGAUGGCCUCGCGUCCGAUUAGCUAGUUGGUGAGGUAAUGGCCCACCAAGGCGACGAUCGGUAGCCGGACUGAGAGGGCGACCGGCCACAUUGGGACUGAGAUACGGCCCAGACUCC
This 285-nucleotide ribosomal RNA is filed under the name uncultured Faecalibacterium sp. RNAcentral describes it as "partial 16S ribosomal RNA". It matches the Rfam family "Bacterial small subunit ribosomal RNA", at positions 65 to 339 of the family's 1533-position model. The record is from RNAcentral. Lineage: Bacteria; Bacillati; Bacillota; Clostridia; Eubacteriales; Oscillospiraceae.